UGGGGGAUAUUGCACAAUGGGCGCAAGCCUGAUGCAGCGACGCCGCGUGGGGGAUGAAGGCCUUCGGGUUGUAAACUUCUUUUGCUCUGAACAAGGCGCACUUUGGGGUGUGUUGAGUGUAGGGGUUGAUUAGCGCCGGCUAACUACGUGCCAGCAGCCGCGGUAAUACGUAGGGCGCGAGCGUUGUCCGGAAUUAUUGGGCGUAAAGGGCUUGUAGGUGGCUGGUUGCGUCUGUCGUGAAAGCUCAUGGCUUAACUGUGGGUUUGCGGUGGGUACGGGCUGGCUUGAGUGCAGUAGGGGAGGCUGGAAUUCCUGGUGUAGCGGUGGAAUGCGCAGAUAUCAGGAGGAAUACCGGUGGCGAAGGCGGGUCUCUUGGCUGUUACUGACACUGAGGAGCGAAAGCAUGGGGAGCGAACAGG
Molecule: ribosomal RNA, 419 nt
Filed under: bacterium
Lineage: Bacteria
Description: partial 16S ribosomal RNA
Rfam family: Bacterial small subunit ribosomal RNA
Source: RNAcentral